AACGAACGCUGGCGGCGCGCCUAAUACAUGCAAGUCGAGCGAGAAGACGUAGCAAUACGUUUGUAAAGCGGCGAACGGGUGAGGAAUACAUGGGUAACCUACCCUCGGGUGGGGAAUAACUAGCCGAAAGGUUAGCUAAUACCGCGUACGCUCCUUGGACUUCGGUUCAGGGAGGAAAGCGAUACCGUGGGUAUCGCGCUCUUGGAUGGGCUCAUGUCCUAUCAGCUUGUUGGUGAGGAACGGCUCACCAAGGCUUCGACGGGUAGCUGGUCUGAGAGGACAAUCAGCCACACUGGCACUGCGACACGGGCCAGACUCCUACGGGAGGCAGCAGUAAGGAAUAUUGCGCAAUGGGCGAAAGCCUGACGCAGCGACGCCGCGUGGGGGAUGAAGGUCUUCGGAUUGUAAACCCCUUUCGGGA
This 421-nucleotide ribosomal RNA is filed under the name uncultured bacterium. RNAcentral describes it as "bacterial SSU rRNA". It matches the Rfam family "Bacterial small subunit ribosomal RNA", at positions 29 to 441 of the family's 1533-position model. The record is from RNAcentral.